GGAAGUGCGAGCCGGCCUGGUGGCGGCCGCGGUCUUCAAAACCGUUGUGCGGAGCGGAAAAUGCUUCGCAGGUGGGUUCGAUUCCCAUGCACUUCCG
RNAcentral lists this transfer RNA (97 nucleotides) under Planctomycetota bacterium. Its description in RNAcentral is "tRNA-Sec". It matches the Rfam family "Selenocysteine transfer RNA". The record is from RNAcentral. Lineage: Bacteria; Pseudomonadati; Planctomycetota. RNAcentral also lists the same sequence under 1 other name.